AAGGGAGACCUAAUUCAGGUAGGAGACGAAAAAAAAGUAGUCGCUACCAAGAAUCAAUCCCAAAAGGUCGGAGCGAGGCGAAAUUGGCUUUCAAACUAGGUUCUGGGUUCACACAAGACCUGAAUCAGGAACAAGGGCUAUUAGCUCAGGUGGUUAGAGCGCACCCCUGAUAAGGGUGAGGUCCCUGGUUCGAGUCCAGGAUGGCCCACCUGCACAGGUGGCAAAAAGAAAGAAAAGAAGCGAGGAAUCAGCACCUUAUCUUACUGACAUAGUAAGAGAGAAUGCUGGCUCUGAGUAAAGAGUCCAGAGGAACCUUGAAAACUGCAUAGAGCUAGGUGAAAAAGCCAAAAAAGAAGACCGCAA
This 363-nucleotide transfer RNA is filed under the name uncultured Microcystis sp. RNAcentral's name for it is "partial 16S-23S ribosomal RNA intergenic spacer". The stretch from base 135 to 208 matches the Rfam family "tRNA". The record is from RNAcentral. Lineage: Bacteria; Bacillati; Cyanobacteriota; Cyanophyceae; Chroococcales; Microcystaceae.